RNAcentral lists this ribosomal RNA (253 nucleotides) under uncultured bacterium. RNAcentral describes it as "partial 16S ribosomal RNA". It matches the Rfam family "Bacterial small subunit ribosomal RNA", at positions 524 to 776 of the family's 1533-position model. The record is from RNAcentral.
UACGUAGGCAGCAAGCGUUGUUCGGAGUUACUGGGCGUAAAGGGUGCGUAGGCGGCCUUAUAAGUAUGGUGUGAAAUCUCCCGGCUUAACUGGGAGGGUGCGCUAUAGACUGUGGGGCUAGAGUGUGGGAGAGGAAAGUGGAAUUCCUGGUGUAGCGGUGAAAUGCGUAGAUAUCAGGAGGAACACCGGUGGUGUAAACGGCUUUCUGGACCAUAACUGACGCUGAGGCACGAAAGCGUGGGGAGCAAACAGG